Molecule: non-coding RNA, 120 nt
Organism: Triticum aestivum (bread wheat)
Lineage: Eukaryota; Viridiplantae; Streptophyta; Magnoliopsida; Poales; Poaceae
Source: Rfam
CUGACAAGUUGGCGGCCCCCAUGCCGCCAUCUUCGCGAGGAGGGGAUAGAUCGACGCGUCAAGAAAUCGUUUCAAUUGCCAUGGCUUCCCGUAGGCAAUAUGAUUGUUGCUUGCGUACAC